AGAGUUUGAUCCUGGCUCAGGACGAACGCUGGCGGCGUGCCUAAUACAUGCAAGUCGAGCGGACGAAUCGAAAGCUUGCUUUUGAUUCGUUAGCGGCGGACGGGUGAGUAACACGUGGGCAACCUGCCCUGUAGACGGGGAUAACACCGAGAAAUCGGUGCUAAUACCGGAUAACACGAAAUGUCGCAUGACGUUUCGUUGAAAGACGGCGCAAGCUGUCGCUACAGGAUGGGCCCGCGGCGCAUUAGCUAGUUGGUGAGGUAACGGCUCACCAAGGCGACGAUGCGUAGCCGACCUGAGAGGGUGAUCGGCCACACUGGGACUGAGACACGGCCCAGACUCCUACGGGAGGCAGCAGUAGGGAAUCUUCCGCAAUAGACGAAAGUCUGACGGAGCAACGCCGCGUGAGCGAAGAAGGCCUUCGGGUCGUAAAGCUCUGUUGUUAGGGAAGAACAAGUAACGCAGUAACUGGCGUUACCGUGACGGUACCUAACGAGAAAGCCACGGCUAACUACGUGCCAGCAGCCCGCGGGUAAUACGUAGGUGGCAAGCGUUGUCCGGAAUUAUUGGGCGUAAAAGCGCGCGCAGGCGGGUUCCCUUAAGUCUGAUGUGAAAAGCCCACGGUUCAACCGUGGAGGGGUCAUUGGAAACUGGGGGGACUUUGAGUGCAGAAGAGGAGAGCGGAAUUCCACGUGUAGCGGUUGAAAUGCGUAGAAGAUGUGGGAGGAACACCAGUGGCGAAGGCGGGUUCUUCUGGUC
This 759-nucleotide ribosomal RNA is filed under the name uncultured bacterium. Its description in RNAcentral is "bacterial SSU rRNA". It matches the Rfam family "Bacterial small subunit ribosomal RNA", at positions 8 to 734 of the family's 1533-position model. The record is from RNAcentral.